This 331-nucleotide ribosomal RNA is filed under the name uncultured eukaryote. RNAcentral's name for it is "partial 18S ribosomal RNA". It matches the Rfam family "Eukaryotic small subunit ribosomal RNA", at positions 1470 to 1796 of the family's 1831-position model. The record is from RNAcentral.
CCCUUAGAUGUUCUGGGCCGCACGCGCGCUACACUGUUCGACGCAGCGAGUCUUAACCUUGACCGAAAGGUUUGGGUAAUCUUCAGCAAAGUCGAACGUGAUGGGGAUCGAUCAUUGCAAUUAUUGAUCGUGAACGAGGAAUUCCUAGUAAGUGCAAGUCAUCAGCUUGCGCUGAUUACGUCCCUGCCCUUUGUACACACCGCCCGUCGCUACUACCGAUUGAAUGGUUUAGUGAGAUCUCUGGAUUGACGCUGGCUAGGGGGCGACCCUUGGCCGGACUGUUGAGAAACUGCUCAAACUUGAUCAUUUAGAGGAAGCAAAAGUCGUAACA